ACGCUCGACACCUACGGGAGGCGGCAGUGGGGAAUAUUGCACAAUGGGGGAAACCCUGAUGCAGCGACGCCGCGUGGAGGAAGAAGGUCUUCGGAUUGUAAACUCCUGUUGUUGGGGAAAAAGAGGAUGGUACCCAACAAGGAAGUGACGGCUAACUACGUGCCAGUAGCCGCGGUAAUCUGAGCGGGCUGGCAAGGC
RNAcentral lists this ribosomal RNA (198 nucleotides) under uncultured bacterium. RNAcentral describes it as "partial 16S ribosomal RNA". It matches the Rfam family "Bacterial small subunit ribosomal RNA", at positions 328 to 539 of the family's 1533-position model. The record is from RNAcentral.